GACGAACGCUGGCGGCGCGCCUAACACAUGCAAGUCGAACGAGAGAUGAAGAGCUUGCUCUUCAAAUCGAGUGGCGAACGGGUGAGUAACGCGUGAGGAACCUGCCUCAAAGAGGGGGACAACAGUUGGAAACGACUGCUAAUACCGCAUAAGCCCACGGCAUCGUUUGGCAAUCAAAGGAGCAAUCCGCUGAAAGAUGGGCUCGCGUCUGAUUAGAUAGUUGGUGAGGUAACGGCUCACCAAGUCGACGAUCAGUAGCCGGACUGAGAGGUUGAUCGGCCACAUUGGACUGAGACACGG
Molecule: ribosomal RNA, 300 nt
Filed under: uncultured bacterium
Lineage: Bacteria
Description: bacterial SSU rRNA
Rfam family: Bacterial small subunit ribosomal RNA
Source: RNAcentral